This is a long non-coding RNA of Vespula pensylvanica (western yellowjacket), 405 nucleotides long. RefSeq lists it as uncharacterized. NCBI's taxonomy places the organism in Eukaryota, Metazoa, Arthropoda, Insecta, Hymenoptera, Vespidae. The transcript has 2 exons. The record is from RefSeq and is a predicted model, not a curated record.
UUAUAUUUUUCACGAAAGAAACUGUAUUCAUUCUCAGUAAAAAAGCAAUACUGCGUGAGUUUUGAUAAGAUAAAUAUUAGUCAUAUUAUCGUGACAUGUUUACUCAUGAAGUUGAUAUUUGCGUGUAUAUAAGACUGUAACAAUGUUACAGAUGCUACAAGAAACUAUUUCGCUUGGAGUCAAAUAUAAAACAAAAUUACAUUACAGGAAUGAAGAGUCUGAUACUACUUUUAAUUGUGGUCAUAACUAUGACAUUCUCUAAAGUAGACUGUAUACCAAUUGCUCAGCCACGGGCUGAAUCAUGGAAUAAUGCUGAUCUUUGUGAGAAGUUCAAGAAACCAGGACAAAGUCCACCAAUAAUUUGUUUUUAACAUCUAUUAUUGUUUCCAGAAAUAUAUAAAAUGU